UAGGGAAUAUUAGAAAUGGACGAAAGUCUGAUCUAGCAGCACCGCGUGUGCGAAGAAGGCCUUCGGGUCGUAAAGCACUUUUUGGAAGGAAUAGGAAGAAAUGUACUUCCAGAAUAAGUCUCGGCUAACUACGUGCCAGCAGCCGCGGUAACACGUAGGAGGCAAACGUUAUCCGGAUUUACUGGGCGUAAAGCGCGUGUAGGUGGUACUGUAAGUAGGGCGUGAAAGCUCCUGGCUCAACUGGGAGAGGCCGUUCUAAACUACAGAACUAGAGGAUGGUAGAGGGAGGUGGAAUUCCAGGUGUAGCGGUGGAAUGCGCAGAUAUCUGGAGGAACACCGGUGGCGAAGGCGGCCUCCUAGACCAUUCCUGACACUCAGACGCAAAAGCUAGGGUAGCAAACGG
This 403-nucleotide ribosomal RNA is filed under the name uncultured bacterium. RNAcentral describes it as "bacterial SSU rRNA". It matches the Rfam family "Bacterial small subunit ribosomal RNA", at positions 355 to 775 of the family's 1533-position model. The record is from RNAcentral.